This is a non-coding RNA of Acanthosepion pharaonis, 114 nucleotides long. The record is from the annotation of a GenBank genome assembly. NCBI's taxonomy places the organism in Eukaryota, Metazoa, Mollusca, Cephalopoda, Sepiida, Sepiidae.
UUACGGCCAUGUGACGUUGAAACAACCGUUUCCGUAUGAUGACCAAAGUUAAGCAACGUCGAACCUGAUCAGUACAUAGAUGGGUGACCGCUUGGAAAUACCAGGUGCUGUAAG